GACGAACGCUGGCGGCGUGCUUAACACAUGCAAGUCGAACGGAAAGGCCCUGCUUUUGUGGGGUGCUCGAGGGGCGAACGGGUGAGUAAAACGUGAGUAACCUGCCCUUGACUUUGGGAUAACUUCAGGAAACUGGGGCUAAUACCGGAUAGGAGCUCCUGCUGCAUGGUGGGGGUUGGAAAGUUUCGGCGGUUGGGGAUGGACUCGCGGCUUAUCAGCUUGUUGGUGGGGUAGUGGCUUACCAAGGCUUUGACGGGUAGCCGGCCUGAGAGGGUGACCGGCCACAUUGGGACUGAGAUACGGCCCAGACUCCUACGGGAGGCAGCAGUGGGGAAUAUUGCACAAUGGGCGGAAGCCUGAUGCAGCAACGCCGCGUGCGGGAUGACGGCCUUCGGGUUGUAAACCGCUUUCGCCUGUGACGAAGCGUGAGUGACGGUAAUGGGUAAAGAAGCACCGGCUAACUACGUG
RNAcentral lists this ribosomal RNA (468 nucleotides) under uncultured bacterium. Its description in RNAcentral is "partial 16S ribosomal RNA". It matches the Rfam family "Bacterial small subunit ribosomal RNA", at positions 28 to 507 of the family's 1533-position model. The record is from RNAcentral.